AGUGAACGCUGGCGGUAGGCCUAACACAUGCAAGUCGAACGGCAGCACAGUAAAAGCUUGCUCUUACGGGUGGCGAGUGGCGGACGGGUGAGGAAUACAUCGGAAUCUACUUUUUCGUGGGGGAUAACGUAGGGAAACUUACGCUAAUACCGCAUACGACCUACGGGUGAAAGCAGGAGAUCUUCGGACCUUGCGCGAUUGAAUGAGCCGAUGUCGGAUUAGCUAGUUGGCGGGGUAAAGGCCCACCAAGGCGACGAUCCGUAGCUGGUCUGAGAGGAUGAUCAGCCACACUGGAACUGAGACACGGUCCAGACUCCUACGGGAGGCAGCAGUGGGGAAUAUUGGACAAUGGGCGCAAGCCUGAUCCAGCCAUACCGCGUGGGUGAAGAAGGCCUUCGGGUUGUAAAGCCCUUUUGUUGGGAAAGAAAAGCAGCAGGUUAAUACCCCGCUGUUCUGACGGUACCCAAAGAAUAAGCACCGGCUAACUUCGUG
Molecule: ribosomal RNA, 492 nt
Filed under: uncultured bacterium
Lineage: Bacteria
Description: partial 16S ribosomal RNA
Rfam family: Bacterial small subunit ribosomal RNA
Source: RNAcentral